RNAcentral lists this ribosomal RNA (459 nucleotides) under uncultured bacterium. Its description in RNAcentral is "partial 16S ribosomal RNA". It matches the Rfam family "Bacterial small subunit ribosomal RNA", at positions 338 to 795 of the family's 1533-position model. The record is from RNAcentral.
CCUACGGGAGGCAGCAGUGAGGAAUAUUGGUCAAUGGUCGGGAGCCUGAACCAGCCAAGCCGCGUGAGGGAUGAAGGUACAGAGUAUCGUAAACCUCUUUUGUCAGGGAACAAAGGCGGGGACGCGUCCCCGGAUGAGUGUACCUGAAGAAAAAGCAUCGGCUAACCCCGUGCCGGCAGCCGCGGUAAUACGGAGGAUGCGAGCGUUCUCCGGAUUUAUUGGGUUUACAGGGUGCGCAGGCGGUCUGUUACGUCAUAGGUAAAACCCAGGGGUUCAACCCCGACCCGCCGUUGAAACUGGCAGUCUCGAGUUGGAGAGAAGUAUGCGGAAUGCGCGGUUUAGCGGUGAAAUGCAUAGGUAUCGCGCAGAACUCCGAUUGCGAAGGCAGCAUGCCGGCUCCACACUGACGCUGAGGCACGAAAGCGUGGGUAUCGAACAGGAUUAGAUACCCCUGUAGUC